RNAcentral lists this long non-coding RNA (2210 nucleotides) under Bemisia tabaci. Its description in RNAcentral is "lncRNA ENSASIAIIG011644". The record is from RNAcentral. Lineage: Eukaryota; Metazoa; Arthropoda; Insecta; Hemiptera; Aleyrodidae.
CCCCGUAUGUCUCAUAAUAAAGCCGCUCUUAUUGUUCUCAAAACUAAUACAGUUUUGGACGGAAUACGGAAUACAGUCAUUGCGAGACAGUGAACUUAUUAGGUAGACACCAUGAAUAAGCUUAUUCUUUUUUCUGCUGGUGUUAGAAGCAACGGGGGACUUCAUGGAACUUGGAGCUUCAUCGAAUGAAAAUCUGGACGCUGAAAUAUACGUGCUUCUCUUUAGAGUACGCAGCAGAAUCGAAGAACAUGAAAGAAAGUUUAUGGUAAAUAAUUCCCCGAAAGUGAAGCGAGUAGCCAAAUGGGAAAAGAUUUUAAAACAGGGCAUUAAAAUCGCUGGCGAUCUGAGGAUGAAGCCGGAGUUGCAGGAUUUCCGAGAUUCCAUCAGUGACAAAGAUGUAGUUCUCGAUAUUAUCCAUGAACUUUACGGUGACUGCACUGAUGUCGCCGCUCAUAAAGUGUUUUAUACCGUGAGACCCGAUAAGAAAUCUAUCGAAGAAAUGCUGGUGACCGUUGGCAUUUGCCCCGACGAGCGGAAAAUUGAAUCAAUACAGAUAAUCCUUCAACCAAUUAAAAAUAAAGGGUUGAAGCUGUGGAACGCGUAAAGUGUGAUAUUCACAAUUUUACAAAGAAACCUCCCUAUUCACUAUGCUAAUAGAAUAUAGGAUUUAUAUUUUCGAUUUUUUUUUUAGUAUUUCGAUUUCUUUUUCUUAAAUUUGUAUUACAUAAUAUAGUGUCAAUCGUGUAAAGAGUUGUGUCGAUAUAGAAAAUUUGAUAUUAUGAUCGGUUGAAAAUUAUGUUUGGCUUUUUCAAGUCUUAGAUAAAUUUGGAAAUUAAUUUUCUUUCGAGUUUUCUUUCUCUAUGUCGUGAAAACCUACUUGUGCUUCUUCGGAACUGUGUGCAUCAUUAAGACAUGAGCCCUAAGAAUCAUAAGAGUAUAUGCGUAACAAGGCUCACGUAAUAAUGCACAUAUUUCAGUUUGGCAGAAAUACGUCCAUUUGUAAUACAGGUGACAUGCUGGAAAACAUUUUAGUGAUGAUCCUCAGAAAAGAGAAUGUGCAAUAAUAAAUGACAGAGAGUCUUAUAUCUCCUUAUAUUUAUACAUAAUAAAAAAGAAAACAAAAACAUAGCUUUUCUGUACAAAACAAUGUAUUAUUAUACACUACAGCAAAAAAUUGCAGUCUUAAAGUUCUGACGCAUAUGCAGUGAAACGAAACAAUAGACUAUCAGUCAUCCAGACCAUACAUAUACUAACAUCAGGUAAAUAACAACUCCUUUAAUAUCUUUGAAGUUUUAACAGGAAACUCUUAAUCACCAAUCAAACACACCAUAGGUUAAAAACUUUAACGGUAAAACAAUGUACUCGUAUAACUUUGGAUACUUAAAACUUUAAAAUCAACGAAUAAACUUUUAUAAAUAAAUAAGCCGGAAACAAUAAUUUCAUUCUAAAAUAUUCUCACAAGUAGUGGUAACAGAAAGUAUGGGAACGAGACACAACAAUAUAACCAUUAGUGGAAAAAGUCUUAAAAGUUUCUCCCUCUAAAUAUAAGUCCCAUAAUUUUUACGAGGAAAAAUGAGGCCUACGUGAUGAUGUAAUGUCUUGAAUAUUUUUGUUUGUUUUUGAAUUUAUUAUAUAUUCUAUCUGUAAUUGUAACAAGGCUGAAUUUUUCACUAUCCUCACAUGCAUUAGCAUCAUAUCUCUUCUGAAACGCAAGUUAAUAGUAAUUAGCUUGUGAUUCAUUUAAACUCUUAAUUAAUCUUCAUUUUAUCAUAUUAGUGCCUUUCGACGUAAUCAAUGGAAGAUGAUACAGUAAGUAAUCCAAAUUUUCCUUCACUUUAACACUCCUUGGCGCUCCAUGGCCGGGCCUUCCCCAAAAGUUUUGCCAAUUUUCAAAAUGUUUCCUAGAGUUCAUAAGAUCUUGAUUUCGUUCCUCCUGAAACAUCAGAGGAAUGCAUAUCAUAUUUUGGAAUUAAUUGUUUUAAGUGUGAUGUAAUUGAAUUUCAUUAUUGGUGAGGCGUGGUAAAAUCAAUUUUCAGAUGAGUAAACUGUAUGCGUAGUCAGGAUUUAACAAGUUGUUCCUCAAGCAUUCUAUGUACAUUCUCAUUCACUUUCAAACUUCCGUGAGGUUGAAAGCUUGGCAUUGGGAGUUUAGAAAUUUUAUUUUAUUAUGACGGACAUAUUCUUCUGCACAUGUAAAUAUCGAAGAAAUA